RNAcentral lists this long non-coding RNA (501 nucleotides) under Panax ginseng (ginseng). RNAcentral describes it as "long non-coding RNA (PGIN_LNC001123)". The record is from RNAcentral. Lineage: Eukaryota; Viridiplantae; Streptophyta; Magnoliopsida; Apiales; Araliaceae.
AUAAUUUUGACUAGUAUUAAUAAAUGAGUAAAAUACAUUAACCACCCCGGUAGAUAACCAUUAUAAUAACAUUUACCACCCCUCUAAUUUUUUAAGUAACAAUCAGUACCCCUCUAAUCUAUAAUACGUGACAUUCACCACCAUUAAUAUAGUUGACCAACUAAAAUUCACAAAUAUUUUUAAUAUAAUAUCUAAUAUACCCUUCAAGUUCUCAAAUGAAAGAGAGUGAGACUGUAUAAAACUAUCAGUUCCCAAAUUUAAUACUCUAAAAAGAAUUGGAUUUAAACACGUGCAUUAAUCACAAAAGAUGGACAGAAAACACAAGAAGCUGCCAAUGGAAAUGACCAUUUCCAGCUCAAGGCAUUCAAUACACAGAUGACAAACUAGAAGCCGAAACCGUCUAAAACAUAACAUAAGCUGGAAAUUUAUAACAAUGUUUAAAGUCGUAAAAAAAGGGGUUGUUCACGUCGGCGACAGUUCUUAAUUUAUAAAAGGUUUUGA